CGUGAGCCAGGUUGGUUUCUAUCUUUUAUAAAUUAAAAUGUUUUAGUACGAAAGGAAUUUAUAUUUAAAUUAAAUUUAAUUUUAUUGAAUAUUAUUAAUAUUAUAAUUAUUAAAAUAAUAAAUAAUUAACACUAUAAUUUAUAUGAAAAAUAAAUUCAAAAUAAAUUUAUAAUAAAUUUAUAAUAAAUUUAUAAUAAAUUUAUUU
Molecule: ribosomal RNA, 205 nt
Filed under: Timandra comae
Lineage: Eukaryota; Metazoa; Arthropoda; Insecta; Lepidoptera; Geometridae
Description: partial 16S ribosomal RNA
Source: RNAcentral